Molecule: microRNA, 22 nt
Filed under: Caenorhabditis brenneri
Lineage: Eukaryota; Metazoa; Nematoda; Chromadorea; Rhabditida; Rhabditidae
Source: RNAcentral
UAUGACACUGGGACGGUUAGGA